GUAGGUGGCAAGCGUUGUCCGGAAUUAUUGGGCGUAAAGCGCGCGCAGGUGGUUCUUUAAGUCUGAUGUGAAAGCCCCCGGCUCAACCGGGGAGGGUCAUUGGAAACUGGGGAACUUGAGUGCAGGAGAGGAAAGUGGAAUUCCACGUGUAGCGGUGAAAUGCGUAGAUAUGUGGAGGAACACCAGUGGCGAAGGCGACUUUCUGGCCUGUAACUGACACUGAGGCGCGAAAGCGUGGGGAGCAAACAGGAUUAGAUACCCUGGUAGUCCACGCCGUAAACGAUGAGUGCUAAGUGUUGGGGGGGUUUCCCGCCCCCCUCAGCGCUGCAGCUAACGCAUUAAGCACUCCGCCUGGGGAGUACGGUCGCAAGACUG
Molecule: ribosomal RNA, 375 nt
Filed under: uncultured organism
Description: partial 16S ribosomal RNA
Rfam family: Bacterial small subunit ribosomal RNA
Source: RNAcentral